This 468-nucleotide ribosomal RNA is filed under the name uncultured bacterium. RNAcentral's name for it is "partial 16S ribosomal RNA". It matches the Rfam family "Bacterial small subunit ribosomal RNA", at positions 28 to 507 of the family's 1533-position model. The record is from RNAcentral.
GACGAACGCUGGCGGCGUGCUUAACACAUGCAAGUCGAACGGAAAGGCCCUGCUUUUGUGGGGUGCUCGAGUGGCGAACGGGUGAGUAACACGUGAGUAACCUGCCCUUGACUUUGGGAUAACUUCAGGAAACUGGGGCUAAUACCGGAUAGGAGCUCCUGCUGCAUGGUGGGGGUUGGAAAGUUUCGGCGGUUGGGGAUGGACUCGCGGCUUAUCAGCUUGUUGGUGGGGUAGUGGCUUACCAAGGCUUUGACGGGUAGCCGGCCUGAGAGGGUGACCGGCCACAUGGGGACUAAGGUAGGGCGCAGACUCCAACGGGAGGCAACGGGGGGGAAUAUGACACAGUGGGCGGGCGCCUGAGAAAGCAACGCCGGGUGCGGAAUGACGGCCUUCGGGUUGAAAACCGCUUUCGCCUGUGACGAAGGGUGAGUGACGGUAAUGGAAAAAGAAGCACCGGCUAACUACGUG